Molecule: long non-coding RNA, 569 nt
Organism: Passer domesticus (house sparrow)
Lineage: Eukaryota; Metazoa; Chordata; Aves; Passeriformes; Passeridae
Exons: 3
Source: RefSeq, a predicted model, not a curated record
GGCUAUUACUCCUAGCUCUGAAGAGGUGUGCUCAAGGCCCUGACACUAAGGGGAAUGUGGCAUGAAGAGAAGAAAGCCCUGUGUGUACUAUCAGCUCUUGGUCCACACUCACAGACGUGGAACUAAGCUUGUGUAAUAUGAUGACCUUCCAAAUCCCCUCUCCUUGUGGAUAUCAUGCUAAGAUGGCACAGCACAGCUGAAUACACUUCUCCCCACAACUUCUGAUCCAGACUGUGUCACUGUGAUCCUCCCUCCUCUGGCCUGAAACCCAAAUCCUGGUGUGGUGGCAGGAGGGGAUCUUCCCUCACCUUCAGAUGAGAUAAAAGCCAGACCAAACAGAGAGAAGGUGGCAACACACAGGUGCCAACUGUUGCCUUCCUGCAGGAGAUUUAUUUCUGCGUAGUUCACAAAUCAUUUUGGCCACUCAAACUCUUUGAAUCUAAAGACCCUUUCCUACUGUGAGUGGCAUACUUCUUUCAAAGAGGUCACUUUUUCUUUCCUUUCCAGAGUUGCAAGACUGUAGGUGCAAGUCCACACAUUUAAACAGAAAUAUUUUUGAGGCCUUGAAG